CUUACCCUAAACCAUCUGUUCGAGUUGAUCUUUUUUUUACAACCACUUCGACGUCCUUAUCAUCGCUUCCUACUAUACUCGAAAAUGUCAUCCAUCGAUACAGACUAUCUGAUGUUCGCAGCGAUUGGCAUCAUCUACUGUGCCUUGGUUGUGUGUAUUGGCAAAGACGCCUUUCGCGCGAUUUUUACACCAGGGAAAAAGGAGCAAUACUGUUGCCCAAGACACGGUACACAACAAUCGUUCAACCAACAUCGCAAGAUGGCAUAGGCAAAACCCUACAUCCUUAUUUUAGUUGAUAAAGGACUCGGCUGAAGAAAAUCCUGCUUGAAGAUGCUUGAGGAACGCCGGCCAAGAAACGCAAUAAUAACGAACACAAAAACAAAAAGACUGAAGCAUUUUGUCUUCUAACUGUCACUUUUUAAAAAGAGUUGUUACCGUAUUUACUCAUGUAUCAUGCGCACUUUUUUCAAAUGCAAAAUGACCUUCAAAAUCGGGGUCCGCAUUAUAAAAUGAAACUUUUUGUUUGAGAGGUAGAAAAUUUGCAUAAUAAUAAAAACAAUAGAAAGCCCUU
This is a long non-coding RNA of Nematostella vectensis (starlet sea anemone), 571 nucleotides long. RefSeq lists it as uncharacterized. The record is from RefSeq and is a predicted model, not a curated record. The transcript is spliced from 2 exons. Lineage: Eukaryota; Metazoa; Cnidaria; Anthozoa; Actiniaria; Edwardsiidae.